GACCUCAAAUCAGGUAGGACUACCCGCUGAACUUAAGCAUAUCAA
This 45-nucleotide ribosomal RNA is filed under the name Amauroderma elegantissimum. RNAcentral describes it as "partial 28S ribosomal RNA". Lineage: Eukaryota; Fungi; Basidiomycota; Agaricomycetes; Polyporales; Polyporaceae. The record is from RNAcentral. RNAcentral also lists the same sequence under 2 other names.